UGCAAGUCGGACGGUAACAUUAGAGCUUGCUCUAGAUGACGAGUGGCGGACGGGUGAGUAACGCGUACACAACCUACCUUUAAGUGGUGAAUACCCUUUGGAAACGGAGAAUAAUACACCAUAGUAUUAACUGAUAGAUAAUUGGUUAAUUAAAGCUUUGGCGCUUAAAGAUGGGUGUGCGUACUAUUAGCUAGUUGGUAAGGUAAUGGCUUACCAAGGCUACGAUAGUUAGGGGGCGUGAGAGCGUGAACCCCCACACGGGUACUGAGACACGGACCCGACUCCUACGGGAGGCAGCUGUAAGGAAUAUUGGACAAUGGAGGCAACUCUGAUCCAGCCAUCCCGCGUGAAGGAUGACUGCCCUAUGGGUUGUAAACUUCUUUUAGACAGGAAGAAUAGCAGACAUUUAUGUUUGUGUGACGGUACUGUCAGAAUAAGCACCGGCUAACUCCGUGCCAGCAGCCGCGGUAAUACGGAGGGUGCAAGCGUUAUCCGGAAUCACUGGGUUUAAAGGGUGCGUAGGCGGCCUGACAAGUCAGAGGUGAAAUACACGAGCUUAACUGGUGAAUUGCCUU
RNAcentral lists this ribosomal RNA (575 nucleotides) under uncultured bacterium. RNAcentral describes it as "bacterial SSU rRNA". It matches the Rfam family "Bacterial small subunit ribosomal RNA", at positions 56 to 627 of the family's 1533-position model. The record is from RNAcentral.